GGUAAGAGCCCACCAGCGAUCGAGGUGACUCGGUCGGCUUGGUAAACCCCAUUUGGAGCAAGGCCGAGCAGAGGGGAGUCCGACGUUCGCGUCGGCGCGUCGCGGCCCGUGACGUUUUCACCCUCGGGUAGGCUGCUGGAGGCCUGGAGCAAUUCAGGUCCUAGAGAAAUGACCGUCGCCGCGUUGGCGACAACGCGGAACAGAACCCGGCUUAUCAGUCGACUCGCCCC
This 230-nucleotide RNase P RNA is filed under the name Planctomycetales bacterium. RNAcentral's name for it is "partial RNase P RNA component class A". It matches the Rfam family "Bacterial RNase P class A", at positions 166 to 367 of the family's 367-position model. From Rfam's summary of the family: Ribonuclease P (RNase P) is a ubiquitous endoribonuclease, found in archaea, bacteria and eukarya as well as chloroplasts and mitochondria. Its best characterised activity is the generation of mature 5'-ends of tRNAs by cleaving the 5'-leader elements of precursor-tRNAs. Cellular RNase Ps are ribonucleoproteins. The record is from RNAcentral. Lineage: Bacteria; Pseudomonadati; Planctomycetota; Planctomycetia; Planctomycetales.